UGUUAUGAAUUGCUUAAGUAUUUAGAUGACUCUGUAUUAAUAGAAAUGCUAGCUUUGUUUAAUUCAGUGUGGAAAGAAGGAAAAUUACCAGUAGAAUGGAAGCAUGAGGUGGUAGUUCCAAUUUUAAAGCCAGGUAAAGACAUGUCUAAUCCUCGUUCAUAUUGGCCUAUAGCUUUAACGUCAGUGCUUUGUAAAACUAUGGAACGAAUGGUCGCCAACAGAUUUGUUUAUUUUUUUAAAAAAUAAGGGACAUUUUGCUGCCCAUGAAAAUGGUUUUAGAACUAGAAGGUCAACAAUGGAAUCUGUUGCCCUUUAGAUCAUGAUAUUAAAAAGGUGUUUCAAGAUAGAGAAGUAAUGGUAACUGUAUUUCUAGAUAUUGAAAGAGCAUAUGACUCACUAUGGAAGGAUAGUUUAUUAAUUAAACUCUAUGAUGCGGGAAUUAGAGGUAGAAUGUUCAAUUGGAUCAAAGAUUUUCUUAAGGAAAAGACAAUUCAAGUAAGAAUAGGCAGAACAAGCUCUAAGUCAGUUAAAAUAGAUAAUGUUACUCUUCAAGGAAGCGUCAUUAGUCCAGUUUUUUUUAAUGUCAUGAUAAACAAUAACUUUGAGCAGGUAGGGACAGGAUUUGGCAAGUCAUUGUUUGCAGACGAUGGUGCAAUCUGGAAAAGAGGAAGAAACAUCAAGUAUAUAUUAAAGCAGCUUCAAGGAAGCAGAGCAAUUUCAACAGCGUCGAUUGUAAAUGAAUAUUUAAACAAUAAAUGGGGAUCUUAUCUGAAGAUUUUUACUGAUGGCUCAGUGGACCCAGACAGCAGUAAGAGUGCAGUAAUAUGCUUAGAUGCAUCUAAACUGUUGGAAAUAGAAGAAGAAGAAGUAGAAGAGGGCCACCUGUUGGGACACUCCCAGUGACUGUAGUUUGUGGGCUCGGCUUGCGUUGCUUUGGAAGCUGCAGCUAUGCGUUCCGACUCCGACUCCUUCAGCAGGGGUCUGGAACCAGACAGUUUCCCCGCCGCCAAACUGAACCGGUGACUCCCGCAAUGACAGACCAAAAAGGGGAGGUCAAGGAAAGGGCAGAAAGUGGGCACAGCAAUAGGCGUUGCUGGCUCAGAUCUCCAGAGACGCAUGUUCGAUCCCCACUUCGGGCGCUGUGUGUAUGCAGACUGUCCAGCAGAGUUCCUCCAGCCAUUUGUGUGCAUUGAUCUUGGCUUCUCUUAUCACUCGGCACCGCCAUCUGUUUAACAGGACACCUCCUUGGGAUUUCUAAUGAUUAACAGGACAGCCCAGGAUGUGCACCAGAUGCUGGGCUGUCAACAAUUCCAUACUUUGGAAAUAAACACAGAAUAACUUUCCUCCCAACAUGUGAAAGGAAGCACAAGAGGCUUCAGCUGAUCCAGGGAUGGGGCCCUGCUUCACAUCUGCAGGUGCAGGUACCCCAGGAAGUAUGCUGCCUGUGCACAGCAGGAUCCCACAAGCAACCAACCAAGGGCAAUCAAAAUGCUAUGUCUGCUUUGGGACUGGCCAUCCAGCCAGUGUGACCUGCUCCCAGUACUAAUUCAUGUCUUCAUACAAAGCCUUAACCAUCCCCUCUCCUCCACACUCCAUAUUCAUAACUCUAAGUAAAUUUUUAAAAUUCAUAUUCAUGUCACCAUAUG
Molecule: long non-coding RNA, 1646 nt
Organism: Hypanus sabinus (Atlantic stingray)
Lineage: Eukaryota; Metazoa; Chordata; Chondrichthyes; Myliobatiformes; Dasyatidae
Exons: 4
Source: RefSeq, a predicted model, not a curated record